This 191-nucleotide unclassified non-coding RNA is filed under the name uncultured Inocybaceae. RNAcentral's name for it is "sequence contains ITS1". The record is from RNAcentral. Lineage: Eukaryota; Fungi; Basidiomycota; Agaricomycetes; Agaricales.
UUGAAAUAGCAUGACGAGUUGUCGCUGGCCCUCUUUCGACCGUGCACGCUCCGUCGUUCUUCAUUUCUCCAUCUAUUUGUGCACCUCCUGCGUAUCGGGACUGCUUUGCAAAAAAUCAAUUUGUGGGCUUUCCUUGUCGCUGCCACACAUACACCCAGUGUAGAAGGAAAUGUAAUUAUUGAUGCAUAAUA